This 119-nucleotide ribosomal RNA is filed under the name Pongo abelii (Sumatran orangutan). Lineage: Eukaryota; Metazoa; Chordata; Mammalia; Primates; Hominidae. The record is from RNAcentral.
GUCUAUGGCCAUACCACCCUGAACGCACCUGAUCUCGUCUGAUCUCAGAAGCUAAGCAGUGUCGGGCCUGGUUAGUAGUUGGAUGGGAGACCUCCUGGGAAUACCAGGUGCUGUAGGCC